This 484-nucleotide ribosomal RNA is filed under the name uncultured bacterium. RNAcentral describes it as "partial 16S ribosomal RNA". It matches the Rfam family "Bacterial small subunit ribosomal RNA", at positions 30 to 507 of the family's 1533-position model. The record is from RNAcentral.
AUUGAACGCUGGCGGCAGGCCUAACACAUGCAAGUCGAGCGGAUGAAGGGAGCUUGCUCCUGGAUUCAGCGGCGGACGGGUGAGUAAUGCCUAGGAAUCUGCCUGGUAGUGGGGGAUAACGUCCGGAAAUGGGCGCUAAUACCGCAUACGUCCUGAGGGAGAAAGUGGGGGAUCUUCGGACCUCACGCUAUCAGAUGAGCCUAGGUCGGAUUAGCUAGUUGGUGGGGUAAAGGCCUACCAAGGCGACGAUCCGUAACUGGUCUGAGAGGAUGAUCAGUCACGCUGGAACUGGAACACGGUCCAGACUCCUGCGAGAGGCAGCAGUGGGGAAUAUUGAACGGUGGGCGAAAGCCUGAACCAUCCAUGCCGCGUGUGUGAAGGAGGUCUUCGGAUUGUAAAACACUUUAAGUUGGGAGGAAGGGCAGUAAGUUAAUACCUUGCUGUUUUGACGUUACCAACAGGAUAAGCACCGGCUAACUUCGUG